AUUGAACGCUGGCGGCAGGCCUAAUACAUGCAAGUCGGACGGUAACAUAAGAAAAGCUUGCUUUUCUUGAUGACGAGUGGCGGACGGGUGAGUAAGAUUUGGGAAACUACCUGAUAGAGGGGGACAACAGUUGGAAACGACUGCUAAUACCGCAUACAGCCUUAGGGUGAAAGAAGAAAUUCGCUAUCAGAUGUGCCCAAACGGGAUUAGCUAGUAGGUGAGGUAAAGGCUCACCUAGGCGACGAUCUCUAGCUGGUCUGAGAGGAUGAUCAGCCACAUUGGGACUGAGACACGGCCCAGACUCCUACGGGAGGCAGCAGUAGGGAAUAUUGCACAAUGGAGGAAACUCUGAUGCAGCCAUGCCGCGUGUGUGAAGAAGGCCUUCGGGUUGUAAAGCACUUUCGGAGGGGAGGAAGAAAAUGACGUUACCCUCAGAAGAAGCACCGGCUAACUCCGUG
RNAcentral lists this ribosomal RNA (458 nucleotides) under uncultured bacterium. Its description in RNAcentral is "bacterial SSU rRNA". It matches the Rfam family "Bacterial small subunit ribosomal RNA", at positions 30 to 507 of the family's 1533-position model. The record is from RNAcentral.